AUUAUCUGAGGAUCUUGUUAAAAAGCAGAUUUGGGUGCAGAAAUCUAGGAUGGGGCCUGAGGUUCUGUAUUUCUAACAAGCUCUCAAGUGAUUCCAA
RNAcentral lists this microRNA precursor (97 nucleotides) under Otolemur garnettii (small-eared galago). RNAcentral's name for it is "mir-544 microRNA precursor family". It matches the Rfam family "mir-544 microRNA precursor family". Lineage: Eukaryota; Metazoa; Chordata; Mammalia; Primates; Galagidae. The record is from Rfam by way of RNAcentral.